UACAGAGGAAGCUAACGUUGUCCGGAUUUACUGGGCGUAAAGGGUUUGUAGGCGGCCAAUUAAGUCAGUUGUGAAAUCGCUCCGCUCAACGGAGCAAUUGCUUCUGAUACUGAUUGGCUUGAGUGCAGGAAGGGUAAAUGGAAUUUCCGGUGUAGCGGUGGAAUGCGUAGAUAUCGGAAAGAACACCAGUGGCGAAGGCGGUUUACUGGCCUGUAACUGACGCUGAAAAACGAAAGCCAGGGGAG
This 245-nucleotide ribosomal RNA is filed under the name uncultured bacterium. RNAcentral's name for it is "partial 16S ribosomal RNA". It matches the Rfam family "Bacterial small subunit ribosomal RNA", at positions 524 to 768 of the family's 1533-position model. The record is from RNAcentral.